AGUGAACGCUGGCGGUAGGCCUAACACGUGCAAGUCGAACGGCAGCACAGUAAGAGCUUGCUCUUACGGGUGGCGAGUGGCGGACGGGUGAGGAAUACAUCGGAAUCUACUUUUUCGUGGGGGAUAACGUAGGGAAACUUACGCUAAUACCGCAUACGACCUACGGGUGAAAACAGGGGAUCUUCGGACCUUGCGCGAUUGAAUGAGCCGAUGUCGGAUUAGCUAGUUGGCGGGGUAAAGGCCCACCAAGGCGACGAUCCGUAGCUGGUCUGAGAGGAUGAUCAGCCACACUGGAACUGAGACACGGUCCAGACUCCUACGGGAGGCAGCAGUGGGGAAUAUUGGACAAUGGGCGCAAGCCUGAUCCAGCCAUACCGCGUGGGUGAAGAAGGCCUUCGGGUUGUAAAGCCCUUUUGUUGGGAAAGAAAAGCAGCAGGUUAAUACCCCGCUGUUCUGACGGUACCCAAAGAAUAAGCACCGGCUAACUUCGUG
This 492-nucleotide ribosomal RNA is filed under the name uncultured bacterium. RNAcentral's name for it is "partial 16S ribosomal RNA". It matches the Rfam family "Bacterial small subunit ribosomal RNA", at positions 29 to 507 of the family's 1533-position model. The record is from RNAcentral.